Molecule: ribosomal RNA, 410 nt
Filed under: uncultured bacterium
Lineage: Bacteria
Description: bacterial SSU rRNA
Rfam family: Bacterial small subunit ribosomal RNA
Source: RNAcentral
GAUGAACGCUGGCGGCGUGCYUAACACAUGCAAGUCGAACGAAGCACUUGUAUUUGAUUCUUCGGAUGAAGAUACUUGUGACUGAGUGGCGGACGGGUGAGUAACGCGUGGGUAACCUGCCUCAUACAGGGGGAUAACAGUUAGAAAUGGCUGCUAAUWCCGCAUAAGCACACAGUGUUGCAUGACACAGUGUGAAAAACUCCGGUGGUAUGAGAUGGACCCGCGUCUGAUUAGCUGGUUGGUGGGGUAACGGCCUACCAAGGCGACGAUCAGUAGCYGACCUGAGAGGGUGACCGGCCACAUUGGGACUGAGACACGGCCCAAACUCCUACGGGAGGCAGCAGUGGGGAAUAUUGCACAAUGGGGGAAACCCUGAUGCAGCGACGCCGCGUGAGCGAAGAAGUAUUUCG